Molecule: small RNA, 106 nt
Filed under: Marmota monax (woodchuck)
Lineage: Eukaryota; Metazoa; Chordata; Mammalia; Rodentia; Sciuridae
Source: RNAcentral
UUUGGGUGUGGUGACGCACGCCUGUAAUCCUGGCUACUCAGGAAGCUGAGAAAGGAGGAUGGCAAGUUCAAGGCCAGCCUGGGCACCUUAGUAGACUCUGUCUCAA